AGGCGGGUGGUUUAGGUAAAUCCGGACCGCUACUAACGCUGAGAUACGAUGUCGAGCUACUACGGUAGUGAAGUCAUUGAUGCCAUGCUUCCAGGAAAAGCCUCUAAGCUUCAGAUUGUAAGGAAUCGUACCCCAAACCGACACAGGUGGUCGGGUAGAGAAUACCAAGGCGCUUGAGAGAACUCGGGUGAAGGAACUAGGCAAAAUGGUACCGUAACUUCGGGAGAAGGUACGCUCUUAUCAGUGAAGUCCCUUGCGGAUGGAGCAGACGAGAGUCGCAGAUACCAGGUGGCUGCAACUGUUUAUUAAAAACACAGCACUGUGCAAAAUCGUAAGAUGACGUAUACGGUGUGACGCCUGCCCGGUGCCGGAAGGUUAAUUGAUGGGGUUAGACUUCGGUCGAAGCUCUUGAUCGAAGCCCCGGUAAACGGCGGCCGUAACUAUAACGGUCCUAAGGUAGCGAAAUUCCUUGUCGGGUAAGUUCCGACCUGCACGAAUGGCGUAAUGAUGGCCACGCUGUCUCCACCCGAGACUCAGUGAAAUUGAAAUCGCUGUGAAGAUGCAGUGUACCCGCGGCUAGACGGAAAGACCCCGUGAACCUUUACUACAGCUUGGCACUGAACAUUGAACCUACAUGUGUAGGAUAGGUGGGAGACUUUGAAACCGCGUCGCUAGAUGUGGUGGAGUCGUCCUUGAAAUACCACCCUUGUAGUUUUGAUGUUCUAACGUUGGCCCCUGAAUCGGGGUUACGGACAGUGCCUGGUGGGUAGUUUGACUGGGGCGGUCUCCUCCCAAAGAGUAACGGAGGAGCACGAAGGUGGGCUAAACACGGUUGGACAUCGUGUGGUUAGUGCAAUGGCAUAAGCCCGCUUGACUGCGAGAAUGACAAUUCGAGCAGGUGCGAAAGCAGGUCAUAGUGAUCCGGUGGUUCUGAAUGGAAGGGCCAUCGCUCAACGGAUAAAAGGUACUCCGGGGAUAACAGGCUGAUACCGCCCAAGAGUUCAUAUCGACGGCGGUGUUUGGCACCUCGAUGUCGGCUCAUCACAUCCUGGGGCUGAAGUCGGUCCCAAGGGUAUGGCUGUUCGCCAUUUAAAGUGGUACGCGAGCUGGGUUUAGAACGUCGUGAGACAGUUCGGUCCCUAUCUGCCGUGGGCGUUGGAAAAUUGAAAGGGGCUGCUCCUAGUACGAGAGGACCGGAGUGGACGAACCUCUGGUGUUCGGGUUGUCAUGCCAAUGGCAUUGCCCGGUAGCUAAGUUCGGAAUCGAUAACCGCUGAAAGCAUCUAAGCGGGAAGCGAGCCUUGAGAUGAGUUUUCCCUGGCGCUUUAAGCGUCCUAAAGGGUUGUCGUAGACUACGACGUUGAUAGGCAGGGUGUGUAAGUGCUGCGAGGCAUUGAGCUAACCUGUACUAAUUGCCCGUGAGGCUUAACCAUACAACACCCAAGGGGUUU
This 1450-nucleotide ribosomal RNA is filed under the name Vibrio sp. 10N.286.51.C3. Its description in RNAcentral is "bacterial LSU rRNA". It matches the Rfam family "Bacterial large subunit ribosomal RNA", at positions 1522 to 2925 of the family's 2925-position model. Lineage: Bacteria; Pseudomonadati; Pseudomonadota; Gammaproteobacteria; Vibrionales; Vibrionaceae. The record is from RNAcentral.